Long non-coding RNA from Megalobrama amblycephala (Wuchang bream), 429 nucleotides. RefSeq lists it as uncharacterized. The transcript has 3 exons. Lineage: Eukaryota; Metazoa; Chordata; Actinopteri; Cypriniformes; Xenocyprididae. The record is from RefSeq and is a predicted model, not a curated record.
UCUGCCUUCAACAAUAAAUACUGGAAUGUAAGUUUUUAAAUGUCUUUUUCAGUUUACAUCUUUCGUUUAUCCUUUACGUAUACACUAAAAUCCGUUAGAUCUUUCUUAGAAUGACAUGACAAUUACAUUAAUUGUGGGUGUAUACUGCUUUUGAAUAACAGCUAACUUAGAUUUGUUUUCAUUCAGAAUCCAGACGGCCUACUUAAAUAUGGACACUGAUGAUGCAACAAAAAGUCUUCAUUUACAACAAAGGUAACGUUACUUUGGGGCUGACAGACAGCCAUUGUGAAGGACACAAUCUGGAAAAAAAAAUUACCUGCAGAGGUGAAUGGGAGGAUAUGGGCUCUGAGGAAAAACUCUACACACAGACGCUCUACACACAUAGACGGCUCAAUGCUGCUAACUGGCAGAGCAGCUGGAAAACUAAAA